GACGAACGCUGGCGGCGUGCUUAACACAUGCAAGUCGAACGAGUGGCGAACGGGUGAGUAACACGUGAGUAACCUGCCCCUUCUUCUGGAUAACUGCUUGAAAGGGUAGCUAAUACGGGAUAGUGGGGGAUGGGCUCGCGGCCUAUCAGCUUGUUGGUGGGGUGAUGGCCUACCAAGGCGGUGACGGGUAGCCGGCCUGGGAGGGUGGACGGCCACAGUGGGACUGAGACACGGCCCAGAGUCCUACGGGAGGCAGCAGUGGGGAAUAUUGCACAAUGGGCGCAAGCCGGAUGCAGCGACGCCGCGUGAGGGAUGGGGGCCUUCGGGUUGUAAACCUCUUUCGCUAUCGAACGGGUAGGUGGAGAAGAAGCGCCGGCUAACUACGUGCCAGCAGCCGCGGUAAUAC
This 406-nucleotide ribosomal RNA is filed under the name uncultured bacterium. RNAcentral describes it as "partial 16S ribosomal RNA". It matches the Rfam family "Bacterial small subunit ribosomal RNA", at positions 28 to 526 of the family's 1533-position model. The record is from RNAcentral.